UUUCUUUCACUGGUAGGGGUUGCUGGGAAAUGUCUGGCCCUGUGUUGAGCAGUUGGAAUGAUGUGUAAGGGGUGUGCUUUGUUACAGGUGGAUCUACAAAGGGAGAUAUAAUUGGAGGCAAUUUUUGCUCUGGGUUUCCUCCUUAGAGCCACCAGCCUUCCACCAAAGGCAGGCAGAGGGAAAACUGUGCCAGCAGCCGAGGGGGGUGCUUGGCAAAGAUUUGAUGGGAAAUCGGAUGAGUCUACAAGUGACAAUACAAUUGGAGGCAAAGCUUUGAGAAGGGCCUCCUUCUAAUAGGGAAUGGGGAAGUUGUACAAUUGGCAAUGGGAUUAGAAGCAACGCUUUGAGCUAGGCCGCCUCCUUAAAACCACCAGCUAUACAGCAAAGGCGCAGGAAUUUGGGAAAGGAAGGAAGAGAGUAGCCCACAGAGCCACUUGUCUGGGAACGGUCUAGUUGGAAAUCGGGUAAGUGUGGCUUUAGCAGGCAUACGACGGUGUGUGUGUGGUGAUCUGGCUGGGGUAAGUAUGCAAGAGCUUUUGUGUCUGGUGAUUUUUUUUUUUUUUGUUUUGGGCACUGGUGGUGGUUGCAGGAACUAUGCUGCUGUAUAGUUUGAUUCGUGAGUAAUGCGUGUGCUUCGUUACAGGAGGUUCUUCAAUUGGCAUUGGGAUUAGAGGCAAGGCUUUGAGCUGGGCCUCCUUCUUAAAGCCACCAGCUAUACAGGAAAGGCAAAGGAAGAGAGCAGCCCACAGAGACACUUGCCCGGGAACAGUCUCAUGGGAAAUCGGGUAAGUGUGACCUUUGAGGGCGUGUGUGGUGAGCUGGCUGGGGUAAGUAGGCAAGAGUCUUUG
Non-coding RNA from Pelodiscus sinensis (Chinese soft-shelled turtle), 848 nucleotides. Lineage: Eukaryota; Metazoa; Chordata; Testudines; Trionychidae. The record is from RefSeq and is a predicted model, not a curated record.